RNAcentral lists this long non-coding RNA (320 nucleotides) under Fukomys damarensis (Damara mole-rat). Its description in RNAcentral is "lncRNA (ENSFDAG00000026729.1)". Lineage: Eukaryota; Metazoa; Chordata; Mammalia; Rodentia; Bathyergidae. The record is from RNAcentral.
UGUUUUUAAGGGUGGGUAAAUGAUGCCUGUUUUUGUGUCUAUAGGCUAGAAAUAUGAAGAAAGAGAGAUGUUUUUCUGGGAAAACAUGCAGAUUCACAAGUUUCCAGUGGCAGCCUCGUGUCACAGAGAAAGGGCUUAGACCACGGUUCCUACAUAGCCGGUUGCUACGAUGCAAGAGACUGGCUUCUCUGAAUCGCCGCCUCUGGAGUUCUAGUCAUUGGCAAGGGGAGCAAAGUGUUUGGCCGAACUCUUUCACGUCACUUAGAAGUAUAACAUUAAUAAUCGAAACCAGGCUCUGGCAGGAAUGCUGGUAAGUACAG